UAGGGAAUCUUCGGCAAUGGACGGAAGUCUGACCGAGCAACGCCGCGUGAGUGAAGAAGGUUUUCGGAUCGUAAAGCUCUGUUGUAAGAGAAGAACGAGUGUGAGAGUGGAAAGUUCACACUGUGACGGUAUCUUACCAGAAAGGGACGGCUAACUACGUGCCAGCAGCCGCGGUAAUACGUAGGUCCCGAGCGUUGUCCGGAUUUAUUGGGCGUAAAGCGAGCGCAGGCGGUUAGAUAAGUCUGAAGUUAAAGGCUGUGGCUUAACCAUAGUAGGCUUUGGAAACUGUUUAACUUGAGUGCAAGAGGGGAGAGUGGAAUUCCAUGUGUAGCGGUGAAAUGCGUAGAUAUAUGGAGGAACACCGGUGGCGAAAGCGGCUCUCUGGCUUGUAACUGACGCUGAGGCUCGAAAGCGUGGGGAGCAAACAGGAUUAGAUACCCUGGUAGUCCACGCUGUAAACGAUGAGUGCUAGGUGUUAGACCCUUUCCGGGGCUUAGUGCCGUAGCUAACGCAUUAAGCACUCCGCCUGGGGAGUACGACCGCAAGGUU
This 549-nucleotide ribosomal RNA is filed under the name uncultured bacterium. RNAcentral describes it as "bacterial SSU rRNA". It matches the Rfam family "Bacterial small subunit ribosomal RNA", at positions 355 to 895 of the family's 1533-position model. The record is from RNAcentral.